This 1724-nucleotide ribosomal RNA is filed under the name Eleutheronema tetradactylum (Indian salmon). RNAcentral's name for it is "16S ribosomal RNA". It matches the Rfam family "Bacterial large subunit ribosomal RNA". Lineage: Eukaryota; Metazoa; Chordata; Actinopteri; Polynemidae. The record is from RNAcentral.
CGCCCAUUAGCUAGCCCCACCACCACUCACAGCAAGCAGACAUUUCUAACCCAAAAUAAACGUAACACAUCUAACUAAACCAUUUUACCCCCUUAGUAUAGGCGAUAGAAAAGGGACCUAUGGGAGCAAUAGAGACAGUACCGCAAGGGAACGCUGAAAGAGAUAUGAAAAAGACCAGUAAAGCCAUAAAAAGCAGAGACUAACUCUCGUACCUUUUGCAUCAUGAUUUAGCUAGCAUUUUCUAAGCAAAGAGAACUUUAGUUUAGACCCCCGAAACCAGGUGAGCUACUCCAAGACAGCCUAACAUAUAGGGCAAACCCGUCUCUGUGGCAAAAGAGUGGGAAGAACUUUGAGUAGGGGUGACAGACCUAUCGAACUUGGUUAUAGCUGGUUGCCUGAGAACUGAAUAGGAGUUCAGCCUUAAAGAUUCUUAAGUCCAAACUAUUCUUAUUUUUCCAGACAUACUUAGAGAAGCUUUAAGAGUUAUUCAAAGGAGGUACAGCUCCUUUGACCAGAGACACAACUCUUUCAGGAGGAUAAAGAUCAAAAUACUAAAGGAACAAUGUUCUGGUGGGCCUAAAAGCAGCCAUCCAUUCAGAAAGCGUUAAAGCUCGAACACACCCCCCCCCCCCCCCCUCCUUUAUCCCGAUAAUUCAUCUUAUUCCCCUAAUUUUAUCAGGCCGCCCCAUGCCCCCAUGGGUGUGACCAUGCUAAUAUGAGUAAUAGGAGGGAUCUGCCCCUCUCCCCGCACACGUGUACAUCGGAACGAACCCCCACCGAAAAUUAACCGGCCCCAGACAAAGAGGGUAAUUGGAAUUAAAUAAAGAACUAGAAAACCACCCACAAACAGUACCGUUAACCCCACACUGGUGUGCAGUUUAAGGAAAGACUAAAAGAAAAAGAAGGAACUCGGCAAACACUAACUAAGCCUCGCCUGUUUACCAAAAACAUCGCCUCUUGCAACACACUAAGUAUAAGAGGUCCCGCCUGCCCGGUGACGACUCUGUUUAACGGCCGCGGUAUCCUAACCGUGCAAAGGUAGCGCAAUCAUUUGUCUUUUAAAUGAAGACCUGUAUGAAUGGCAUAACGAGGGCUUAACUGUCUCCUUUUUCAAGUCAAUGAAAUUGAUCUCCCCGUGCAGAAGCGGGGAUGUCUACAUAAGACGAGAAGACCCUAUGGAGCUUUAGACACAAGACAGACCACGUCACUCACCCCUACAAUAAAGGGCUAAAACCAGAAAGACCCUGUUCUUCUGUCUUCGGUUGGGGCGACCAUGGGGUAACAAAAACCCCCCACGUGGAUUGGGAGCUUUACCCCCUACUCUCUCUUCCUCCCAAAAUCAAGAGCGACAGCUCUAAUUAACAGAACUUCUGACCAAAAAUGAUCCGGCAACGCCGAUCAACGGACCAAGUUACCCUAGGGAUAACAGCGCAAUCCUCUUUUAGAGCCCAUAUCGACAAGAGGGUUUACGACCUCGAUGUUGGAUCAGGACAUCCUAAUGGUGCAGCCGCUAUUAAGGGUUCGUUUGUUCAACGAUUAAAGUCCUACGUGAUCUGAGUUCAGACCGGAGCAAUCCAGGUCAGUUUCUAUCUAUGACGUAAUCUUUUCUAGUACGAAAGGACCGAAAAGAAGGGGCCCCUGUUAAAGAUACGCCCCACUCCCACCCAAUGAAAUCAUCUAAAUUAGGCAAGGGGGAACACUUCCCAUGCCUGAGAGACUGGCAU